RNAcentral lists this ribosomal RNA (497 nucleotides) under uncultured bacterium. Its description in RNAcentral is "partial 16S ribosomal RNA". It matches the Rfam family "Bacterial small subunit ribosomal RNA", at positions 28 to 507 of the family's 1533-position model. The record is from RNAcentral.
GAUGAACGCUGGCGGCGUGCCUAAUACAUGCAAGUCGAGCGAACAGACGAGGAGCUUGCUCCUCUGACGUUAGCGGCGGACGGGUGAGUAACACGUGGAUAACCUACCUAUAAGACUGGGAUAACUUCGGGAAACCGGAGCUAAUACCGGAUAAUAUAUUGAACCGCAUGGUUCAAUAGUGAAAGACGGUUUUGCUGUCACUUAUAGAUGGAUCCGCGCCGCAUUAGCUAGUUGGUAAGGUAACGGCUUACCAAGGCGACGAUGCGUAGCCGACCUGGGAGGGUGAUCGGCCACACUGGAACUGAGACACGGUCCAGACUCCUACGGGAGGCAGCAGUAGGGAAUCUUCCGCAAUGGGCGAAAGCCUGACGGAGCAACGCCGCGUGAGUGAUGAAGGUCUUCGGAUCGUAAAACUCUGUUAUUAGGGAAGAACAAAUGUGUAAGUAACUAUGCACGUCUUGACGGUACCUAAUCAGAAAGCCACGACUAACUACGUG